ACGUAGGGUGCAAGCGUUAAUCGGAAUUACUGGGCGUAAAGCGUGCGCAGGCGGUUGUGUAAGACAGAUGUGAAAUCCCCGGGGUCAACCUGGGAACUGCAUUUGUGACUGCACAGCUGGAGUGCGGCAGAGGGGGAUGGAAUUCCGCGUGUAGCAGUGAAAUGCGUAGAUAUGCGGAGGAACACCGAUGGCGAAGGCAGUCCCCUGGACCUGUACUGACGCUCAUGCACGAAAGCGUGGGGAGCAAACAGGA
This 253-nucleotide ribosomal RNA is filed under the name uncultured prokaryote. Its description in RNAcentral is "partial 16S ribosomal RNA". It matches the Rfam family "Bacterial small subunit ribosomal RNA", at positions 525 to 777 of the family's 1533-position model. The record is from RNAcentral.